Molecule: ribosomal RNA, 610 nt
Filed under: Drosophila erecta
Lineage: Eukaryota; Metazoa; Arthropoda; Insecta; Diptera; Drosophilidae
Description: eukaryotic LSU rRNA
Rfam family: Eukaryotic large subunit ribosomal RNA
Source: RNAcentral
ACCAUGAAAAGCGUUGGUUGCUUAAAACAGCAGGACGGUGAUCAUGGAAGUCUAAAUCCGCUAACAACUCACCUGCCGAAGAAACAGCAACUAGCUCUUAAAUUAGAUGGCGCUUAAGUUGUAUACCUAUACAUUACCGCUAAAGUUUAGGGUUUCGUAUGAACAGUGGUUGAUCACGAGUUAGUCGGUCCUAAGUUCCAGGCGAAAGCCGAAAAUUUUCAAGUAAAACAAAAAUGCCAAAUUAUAUAGCGAAAAUAAUACACUUGAAUAAUUUUGAACGAAAGGUAAUACGGUUCCAAUUCCGUAACCUGUUAUUAAAUAUGGGCCUCGUGCUCAUCCUGGCAACGACCAUAAAAAUGCCGUCGAGAGAUAUCGGAAGAGUUUUCUUUUCUGUUUUAUAGCCCUACUACCAUGGAAGUCUUUCGCAGAGAGAUAUGGUAGAUGGGCUAGAAGAGCAUGACAUAUACUGUUGCGUCGAUAUUUUCUCCUCGGACCUUGAAAAUUGAUGGUGGGGACACGCAAACUUCUCAACAGGCCGUACCAAUAUCCGCAGCUGGUCGCCAAGGUGAAGAGUGACAUAGAGUCAAUAGAAUAAUGUAGGUAAGGGAAG